UUUCAAAAUACGCAACGGAAAAUUCACAAUUUAAUUAUAAAACGUUUGGUUAAAGGUAUUACAAUCAACAACAUACUUAACUAAUUGAUUAAUUAGCCUAAACAUUAACUAUAAAAUCAUUCUUUAUAAAAUAUACAUUUUCCGAAAUAAAUACAUUAAGUCAUAAAGGACCCUAUAUCCUAAAUACAACCCUUUCACCGUGUCACACUCAGAGCGGAGCUUCACCAAACACUUGUGCAUCAACAAAUACAUAACCUGUAAACCUGGACCACCCAACGGUCCAGAAGUACACAAAACAGAGAGUUAGUAAAUCAUAACCAAUAAAAUACAAGUGUAAGCAAUAUCCUUAACACUUCAUCAUAUUAUCAUGCAUAAUCUAACUCACAUACAUAUUCUCAAUCUUAAAUCAAACAUAAGGUUAUUCACAUAUACAUUGAAACACAAUUUGGACAACAAUGCUUAUCACCAAUAUUCAAUCAAGCAACUCACACAACUUACACAAACCACACAAUGUCACGUAUCAAAUCAUCAAAUCAUAUGCACAUCUUCCUAAUGCAAUCUAAUGUCACAACUCAUGCUAUGUCACCCUAGACAUAUCUAAUGCAUGUGGUACCAAUCGUCUUUAUUAGAGUAUCUCACCUCUAAUAUCCGUCUUUAUCGAAUAAAUAUAAUUCGAUAUCCGUCUUUAUUAGAAUCAUAGAUUCUAAUAUCCCUAACUCAAUACAUGAAUGCAUGAAUGAUUCAUGUACAACCACAAACACUUAAUAUAAAACAAUAUUAAGUUAUACUCUAUGAUAUGGAACACUAUCCAUAUCCGUCUUAAUUAAGAUAUAUCACAAAUCUUAAUAUUCUGUCUUUAUCGAACAAAAUCCGAUAUCCUUCUUUAUUAAGAUAACACAAUACCUUAAUAUACUUCUUUAUUAGAAUAACACAAUUCUAAUAUUCUUCAUUCAUAUACAUACAUAUCAUACAUUCAUCAAUAACAUCAACAAAUCAUUAUUAAUUAAAACAUCCUCAACAAUUUUAAAGGUAUAGGAAGUAUACAAAAAUAUAAGAAAACUUCAUAAAUUAAGCCUCAUCUUAUAAAACUAACUUCGGAAUUGGAAUCUACGCGAAAAAUCGAGUGAAAUAAGUUCCGGGUGCAUAAACCGUCAAAAAGUCAAAAGUCAACACUUGGUCAACCCUAACAUGCAGAAAAGACAAAAGCUGCGCGUAGGCGCGAAACUAUUGCGCCCAGGCGCAGGCAAAACAGAAUGCAACCAGAUGGACUUGCGCCUUGGCGUGAACAAUUGCGCCUAGGCGCAGACAUUGUGCAGAAAGUGCGUUUUUGUGCGAAAAAUCACUUAUUUGACCCAAAAUCACUUAUUUUCAGUUCCAGAAAUUAUAUCAAGCAUGUGUUAUGUUCAUACAUGUUCAAAACACAUUAAAAGUAACUUAUUAACACAAAUAAUCACUUAUUGUUCAUGGAUCUUGACAUAUUUGUAAAAACUCAUAAACAUUCACAAAUCUUAACAAACAUCUACAAAUACCCAUUUUCACCCAUCAAAAUUGUUCAUACAUCAUGUUAAGAGUAUAUUAAACAUACUAUUAACAUGAGUUUUCAUUUUCAUUAAGAAAAAUCAUCCCAAAAAGCCCAUGAAAAUGAGUGGAGAAAGUUUGGGUUCGGAGAAAUUGACAUUCUCCCCUUUCUCUAGCCACUCACAAUUAUGAAAACUAUCUCUCUUACCUUAGCUCGACGAUUCUCGGAUCUUGGCUCUUGAAUCUCCAAGAAAUUCCUUGCCCUAGCUCUCCUCCUUCUCUCUUGCUCUUCCUUCUCUCUUCUUUCCCAC
This 1829-nucleotide long non-coding RNA is filed under the name Trifolium pratense (red clover). RNAcentral describes it as "long non-coding RNA (TPRA_LNC013841)". The record is from RNAcentral. Lineage: Eukaryota; Viridiplantae; Streptophyta; Magnoliopsida; Fabales; Fabaceae.